This 65-nucleotide transfer RNA is filed under the name Empis trigramma. Its description in RNAcentral is "tRNA-Asp". The record is from RNAcentral. Lineage: Eukaryota; Metazoa; Arthropoda; Insecta; Diptera; Empididae.
AAAAAAUUAGUUAAAUGAAUAACAUUAGAGUGUCAACCUAAAAUUAUCAAAAUUGAUAUUUUUUA